This 235-nucleotide ribosomal RNA is filed under the name uncultured bacterium. RNAcentral's name for it is "partial 16S ribosomal RNA". It matches the Rfam family "Bacterial small subunit ribosomal RNA", at positions 96 to 334 of the family's 1533-position model. The record is from RNAcentral.
UGGCGGGAGGGUGAGUAAUGUCUGGGAAACUGCCUGAUGGAGGGGGAUAACUACUGGAAACGGUAGCUAAUACCGCAUAACGUCGCAAGACCAAAGAGGGGGACCUUCGGGCCUCUUGCCAUCGGAUGUGCCCAGAUGGGAUUAGCUAGUAGGUGGGGUAACGGCUCACCUAGGCGACGAUCCCUAGCUGGUCUGAGAGGAUGACCAGCCACACUGGAACUGAGACACGGUCCAG